Molecule: ribosomal RNA, 785 nt
Filed under: Trapelia coarctata
Lineage: Eukaryota; Fungi; Ascomycota; Lecanoromycetes; Trapeliales; Trapeliaceae
Description: eukaryotic LSU rRNA
Rfam family: Eukaryotic large subunit ribosomal RNA
Source: RNAcentral
UUGUAAUUUGCWGAGGANGUCUCGGGGGCGACACCGGUUUAAGUUCCUUGGAACAGGGCGUCAUGGAGGGUGAGAAUCCCGUACGUGACCGGUCGUCAACCCCAUGUGAGGCCCCUUCNACGAGUCGAGUUGUUUGGGAAUGCAGCUCUAAAUGGGUGGUAAAUUUCAUCUAAAGCUAAAUACCGGCCAGAGACCGAUAGCGCACAAGUAGAGUGAUCGAAAGAUGAAAAGCACUUUGGAAAGAGAGUUAAACAGUACGUGAAAUUGUUGAAAGGGAAGCGCUUGCNGCCAGACUUGCUCGCGGGUGAUCAACCGUCCUUCGGGGCGGUGCACUGAUCCGCGAUCAGGCCAGCAUCGGUUUCGGCGGCCAGAUAAAAGGUCCGGGAACGUGGCUCCCCCCGGGGAGUGUUAUAGNCCGUUCCACCAUGUGGCCCGCCGGGACCGAGGACCGCGCUUCGGCUAGGAUGUUGGCGUAAUGGCUGUCAGCGACCCGUCUUGAAACACGGACCAAGGAGUCGAUCAGCGACGCGAGUCUUUGGGUGCCAAACCCACAGGCGUAAUGAAAGUGAACGGAGGUGGGAACCCUCUCGGGGGUGCACCAUCGACCGAUCCUGAAGUCUUCGGAUGGAUUUGAGUACGAGCGCCGCUGAUCGGACCCGAAAGAUGGUGAACUAUGCGUGAAUAGGGUGAAGCCAGAGGAAACUCUGGUGGAGGCUCGCAGCGGUUCUGACGUGCAAAUCGAUCGUCAAAUUUGCGUAUAGGGGCGAAAGACUAAUCGAACCAUC